UGGGGAAUUUUGCACAAUGGGGGGAACCUUGAUGCAGCGACGCCGCGUGAGGGAUGGAGGCCUUCGGGUUGUGAACCUCUUUCGCUCGUGUGCAAGCCGCUAUUUGGGUAGUGGUGAGUGUAGCGGGUAAAGAAGCGCCGGCUAACUACGUGCCAGCAGCCGCGGUAAUACGUAGGGCGCGAGCGUUGUUCGGAUUUAUUGGGCGUAAAGGGCUUGUAGGCGGUUUGUCGCGCCUGUCGUGUAAUCCUCUGGCUUAACUGGGGGUGUGCGGUGGGUACGGGCAGGCUUGAGUGCAGUAGGGGAGAUUGGAAUUCCUGGUGUAGCGGUGGAAUGCGCAGAUAUCAGGAGGAACACCGGUGGCGAAGGCGGGUCUCUGGGCCGUUACUGACGCUGAGGAGCGAAAGCGUGGGGAGCAAACAGG
RNAcentral lists this ribosomal RNA (421 nucleotides) under bacterium. RNAcentral describes it as "partial 16S ribosomal RNA". It matches the Rfam family "Bacterial small subunit ribosomal RNA", at positions 355 to 776 of the family's 1533-position model. The record is from RNAcentral.